GACGAACGCUGGCGGCGUGCUUAACACAUGCAAGUCGAACGGAAAGGCCCUGCUUUUGUGGGGUGCUCGAGUGGCGAACGGGUGAGUAACACGUGAGUAACCUGCCCUUGACUUUGGGAUAACUUCAGGAAACUGGGGCUAAUACCGGAUAGGAGCUCCUGCUGCAUGGUGGGGGUUGGAAAGUUUCGGCGGUUGGGGAUGGACUCGCGGCUUAUCAGCUUGUUGGUGGGGUAGUGGCUUACCAAGGCUUUGACGGGUAGCCGGCCUGGGAGGGUGACCGGCCACAUUGGGACUGAGAUACGGCCCAGACGCCUACGGGAGGCAGCAGUGGGAAAUAUUGCACAAUGGGCGGAAGCCUGAUGCAGCAACGCCGCGUGCGGGAUGACGGCCUUCGGGUUGUAACCCGCUUUCGCCUGUGACGAAGCGUGAGUGACGGUAAUGGGUAAAGAAGCACCGGCUAACUACGUG
Molecule: ribosomal RNA, 468 nt
Filed under: uncultured bacterium
Lineage: Bacteria
Description: partial 16S ribosomal RNA
Rfam family: Bacterial small subunit ribosomal RNA
Source: RNAcentral